GGCGCGCAAAUUACCCAAUCCCGACACGGGGAGGUAGUGACAAUAAAUAACAAUAUAGGGCUCUAUUGGGUUUUAUAAUUGGAAUGAGUACAAUUUAAACCCCUUAACGAGGAACAAUUGGAGGGCAAGUCUGGUGCCAGCAGCCGCGGUAAUUCCAGCUCCAAUAGCGUAUAUUAAAGUUGUUGCAGUUAAAAAGCUCGUAGUUGAACUUCGAACCUGGUUAGGUGGUCUGCCUUACGGUACGUACUGCUCGGCCGGGUUCUACCUCUUGGUGAGCCGGCAUGUCCUUCACUGGGUGUGUCGGGGAACCAGGACUUUUACCUUGAGAAAAUUAGAGUGUUCAAAGCAGGCCUUUGCCCGAAUACAUUAGCAUGGCAUAAUAAAAUAGGACGUGCGGUUCUAUUUUGUUGGUUUCUAGAGUCGCCGUAAUGAUUAAUAGGGAUAGUUGGGGGCAUUUGUAUUCCGUUGCUAGAGGUGAAAUUCUUGGAUUUACGGAAGACAAACUUCUGCGAAAGCAUUUGCCAAGGAUGUUUUCAUUAAUCAAGAACGAAGGUUAGGGGAUCGAAAACGAUCAGAUACCGUUGUAGUCUUAACAGUAAACUAUGCCGACUAGGGAUCGGGCGAUCUCAAUCUUAUGUGUCGCUCGGCACCUUACGAGAAAUC
RNAcentral lists this ribosomal RNA (663 nucleotides) under uncultured eukaryote. RNAcentral's name for it is "SSU rRNA". It matches the Rfam family "Eukaryotic small subunit ribosomal RNA", at positions 431 to 1099 of the family's 1831-position model. The record is from RNAcentral.